GCGAGAUAGCUCAGUUGGUAGAGCAGCGGACUGAAAAUCCGCGUGUCGACAGUUCGAUUCUGUCUCUCGCC
RNAcentral lists this transfer RNA (71 nucleotides) under marine eukaryotic metagenome. It matches the Rfam family "tRNA". From Rfam's summary of the family: Transfer RNA (tRNA) molecules are approximately 80 nucleotides in length. Their secondary structure includes four short double-helical elements and three loops (D, anti-codon, and T loops). The record is from RNAcentral.